GACGAACGCUGGCGGCGUGCUUAACACAUGCAAGUCGAACGGAAAGGCCUGCUUUCCCUUGUGGAUUGCGGGUACUCGAGUGGCGAACGGGUGAGUAACACGUGAGUGAUCUGCCCCCAACUUGGGUAUAAGCCUGGGAAACUGGGUCUAAUUCCCGAUAGGACUGCAGGGUGGUGCCUGUGGUGGAAAACGAUUUUCUAGUGGUUGGGGAUGAGCUCGCGGCCUAUCAGCUUGUUGGUGGGGUAAUGGCCUACCAAGGCGGCGACGGGUAGCCGGCCUGAGAGGGUGGACGGCCACAUUGGGACUGAGAUACGGCGCAGACUCCUACGGGAGGCAGCAGUGGGGAGUAUUGCACAAUGGGCGGAAGCCUGAUGCAGCGACGCCGCGUGGGGGAUGACGGCCUUCGGGUUGUAAACUCCUUUCGACCGCGAGGAAGCCACCUGGUUGGAAGGGUGGUGACGGUAGUGGUAGAAGAAGCACCGGCUAACUACGUG
RNAcentral lists this ribosomal RNA (494 nucleotides) under uncultured bacterium. Its description in RNAcentral is "partial 16S ribosomal RNA". It matches the Rfam family "Bacterial small subunit ribosomal RNA", at positions 28 to 507 of the family's 1533-position model. The record is from RNAcentral.